This 435-nucleotide ribosomal RNA is filed under the name Burkholderia sp. Mb337RE. RNAcentral's name for it is "bacterial SSU rRNA". It matches the Rfam family "Bacterial small subunit ribosomal RNA", at positions 154 to 584 of the family's 1533-position model. Lineage: Bacteria; Pseudomonadati; Pseudomonadota; Betaproteobacteria; Burkholderiales; Burkholderiaceae. RNAcentral also lists the same sequence under 8 other names. The record is from RNAcentral.
AAAGCCGGAUUAAUACCGCAUACGAUCUACGGAUGAAAGCGGGGGAUCGCAAGACCUCGCGCUAUAGGGGCGGCCGAUGGCGGAUUAGCUAGUUGGUGGGGUAAAGGCCCACCAAGGCGACGAUCCGUAGCUGGUCUGAGAGGACGACCAGCCACACUGGGACUGAGACACGGCCCAGACUCCUACGGGAGGCAGCAGUGGGGAAUUUUGGACAAUGGGCGCAAGCCUGAUCCAGCAAUGCCGCGUGUGUGAAGAAGGCCUUCGGGUUGUAAAGCACUUUUGUCCGGAAAGAAAUCCUCUGGGUUAAUACCCCGGGGGGAUGACGGUACCGGAAGAAUAAGCACCGGCUAACUACGUGCCAGCAGCCGCGGUAAUACGUAGGGUGCGAGCGUUAAUCGGAAUUACUGGGCGUAAAGCGUGCGCAGGCGGUGAUGU